RNAcentral lists this ribosomal RNA (754 nucleotides) under Alteromonas sp. xn67. Its description in RNAcentral is "bacterial SSU rRNA". It matches the Rfam family "Bacterial small subunit ribosomal RNA", at positions 77 to 834 of the family's 1533-position model. The record is from RNAcentral. Lineage: Bacteria; Pseudomonadati; Pseudomonadota; Gammaproteobacteria; Alteromonadales; Alteromonadaceae.
UUGCUAGAAGAUGACGAGUGGCGGACGGGUGAGUAAUGCUUGGGAACUUGCCUUUGCGAGGGGGAUAACAGUUGGAAACGACUGCUAAUACCGCAUAAUGUCUUCGGACCAAACGGGGCUUCGGCUCCGGCGCAAAGAGAGGCCCAAGUGAGAUUAGCUAGUUGGUAAGGUAACGGCUUACCAAGGCGACGAUCUCUAGCUGUUCUGAGAGGAAGAUCAGCCACACUGGGACUGAGACACGGCCCAGACUCCUACGGGAGGCAGCAGUGGGGAAUAUUGCACAAUGGGGGAAACCCUGAUGCAGCCAUGCCGCGUGUGUGAAGAAGGCCUUCGGGUUGUAAAGCACUUUCAGUUGUGAGGAAAAGUUAGUAGUUAAUACCUGCUAGCCGUGACGUUAACAACAGAAGAAGCACCGGCUAACUCCGUGCCAGCAGCCGCGGUAAUACGGAGGGUGCGAGCGUUAAUCGGAAUUACUGGGCGUAAAGCGCACGCAGGCGGUUUGUUAAGCUAGAUGUGAAAGCCCCGGGCUCAACCUGGGAUGGUCAUUUAGAACUGGCAGACUAGAGUCUUGGAGAGGGGAGUGGAAUUCCAGGUGUAGCGGUGAAAUGCGUAGAUAUCUGGAGGAACAUCAGUGGCGAAGGCGACUCCCUGGCCAAAGACUGACGCUCAUGUGCGAAAGUGUGGGUAGCGAACAGGAUUAGAUACCCUGGUAGUCCACACCGUAAACGCUGUCUACUAGCUGUGUGUGUCUUUA